AGAGUUUGAUCCUGGCUCAGGACGAACGCUGGCGGCGUGCUUAACACAUGCAAGUCGAACGGUGAAGCCCCCUUCGGGGUGGAUCAGUGGCGAACGGGUGAGUAACACGUGGGCAAUCUGCCCUGCACUCUGGGACAAGCCCUGGAAACGGGGUCUAAUACCGGAUAUGACCUUCUACCGCAUGGUGGAGGGUGGAAAGC
Molecule: ribosomal RNA, 200 nt
Filed under: uncultured bacterium
Lineage: Bacteria
Description: partial 16S ribosomal RNA
Rfam family: Bacterial small subunit ribosomal RNA
Source: RNAcentral